RNAcentral lists this ribosomal RNA (1263 nucleotides) under Salmonella enterica subsp. enterica serovar Infantis. RNAcentral describes it as "partial 23S ribosomal RNA". It matches the Rfam family "Bacterial large subunit ribosomal RNA", at positions 1 to 1275 of the family's 2925-position model. The record is from RNAcentral. Lineage: Bacteria; Pseudomonadati; Pseudomonadota; Gammaproteobacteria; Enterobacterales; Enterobacteriaceae.
GGGUUGUGAGGUUAAGCGACUAAGCGUACACGGUGGAUGCCCUGGCAGUCAGAGGCGAUGAAGGGCGUGCUAAUCUGCGAUAAGCGCCGGUAAGGUGAUAUGAACCGUUAUAACCGGCGAUACCCGAAUGGGGAAACCCAGUGUGAUUCGUCACACUAUCAUUAACUGAAUCCAUAGGUUAAUGAGGCGAACCGGGGGAACUGAAACAUCUAAGUACCCCGAGGAAAAGAAAUCAACCGAGAUUCCCCCAGUAGCGGCGAGCGAACGGGGAGGAGCCCAGAGCCUGAAUCAGCAUGUGUGUUAGUGGAAGCGUCUGGAAAGGCGCGCGAUACAGGGUGACAGCCCCGUACACAAAAGCGCAUGUGCUGUGAGCUCGAUGAGUAGGGCGGGACACGUGGUAUCCUGUCUGAAUAUGGGGGGACCAUCCUCCAAGGCUAAAUACUCCUGACUGACCGAUAGUGAACCAGUACCGUGAGGGAAAGGCGAAAAGAACCCCGGCGAGGGGAGUGAAAAAGAACCUGAAACCGUGUACGUACAAGCAGUGGGAGCACAGGUUUACCUGUGUGACUGCGUACCUUUUGUAUAAUGGGUCAGCGACUUAUAUUCUGUAGCAAGGUUAACCGAAUAGGGGAGCCGGAGGGAAACCGAGUCUUAAUUGGGCGUUAAGUUGCAGGGUAUAGACCCGAAACCCGGUGAUCUAGCCAUGGGCAGGUUGAAGGUUGGGUAACACUAACUGGAGGACCGAACCGACUAAUGUUGAAAAAUUAGCGGAUGACCUGUGGCUGGGGGUGAAAGGCCAAUCAAACCGGGAGAUAGCUGGUUCUCCCCGAAAGCUAUUUAGGUAGCGCCUCGUGAAUUCAUCUCCGGGGGUAGAGCACUGUUUCGGCUAGGGGGCCAUCCCGGCUUACCAACCCGAUGCAAACUGCGAAUACCGGAGAAUGUUAUCACGGGAGACACACGGCGGGUGCUAACGUCCGUCGUGAAGAGGGAAACAACCCAGACCGCCAGCUAAGGUCCCAAAGUCAUGGUUAAGUGGGAAACGAUGUGGGAAGGCCCAGACAGCCAGGAUGUUGGCUUAGAAGCAGCCAUCAUUUAAAGAAAGCGUAAUAGCUCACUGGUCGAGUCGGCCUGCGCGGAAGAUGUAACGGGGCUAAACCAUGCACCGAAGCUGCGGCAGCGAACGUAUCACUUAAAGCGAUUCAGCGGGUUACGAUUGACGGAGCGAAGCGACGUCAAAGCGUAUACAAAGUCGAGUCGGUUUAA